This 647-nucleotide unclassified non-coding RNA is filed under the name Hevea brasiliensis (rubber tree). Lineage: Eukaryota; Viridiplantae; Streptophyta; Magnoliopsida; Malpighiales; Euphorbiaceae. The record is from RNAcentral.
AAAAAAAAAAAAAAAGGUCAAAAGGAUGGCAAACCAAGGCAGCGGCAGAGGCAGUUCGAGGCAUGAGCCAAGUUGGAAUUUCAGCUACCAGUCUGGUUUAUCGCCGGAUGGGAGUUGGACUUACAAUUGGGCUGCAGGUUCAGGUCCUGGUGGAAGCACUUUUAGCUUUGGAUCAGGUGCUGGUUGGAGGCCUGAUGGUGCAACUGUAGGGUUUGGUUUCGGAUGGGGCGGAUCUAGCAGUGCAGGUUAUGGAUUUUACGGAGGCAGCAGUGGAUUUGGAUUUGGUGGAGGCAGUGGUGGUUUCAAUUUUCAUCAUAAUUUUGGUGGCGCCCAAGGUCAACGCACAUCUGGCCAACCCAGAACCGACGGGACUCGCAAUCGACUGGGUGGGAACAAUUGAUUACAACUCUGUAUGAUUGUAGUUCUUUUAUUAAGGGAUAGAUGUGAGGGUUGAACAUGACCACCUGCUCUAUGAUGUAUUGUAGAUGAUUGUGUAUGCAUAUUUACUAAUUUCUGUGUUUGUAUAAUGUAAGAAAUUUGGUUAUGAUUGCAAUCAAAAGAAAUACAGAUUAUCCUGUAUGAUUGCAAUCAAAAGAAAUACAGAUUAUCCUGUAUGAUUGCAAUCAAAAGAAAUACAGAUUAUCCUG